RNAcentral lists this transfer RNA (67 nucleotides) under Modiolus comptus. RNAcentral's name for it is "tRNA-Gln". The record is from RNAcentral. Lineage: Eukaryota; Metazoa; Mollusca; Bivalvia; Mytilida; Modiolidae.
UAUUUAGCAGUAUAUGAGUACGUGGAGUUUUGAUCUCCUUAAAAAAGGGUAAAUCCUUUCUUUAUAA